GAAGUGAAGGCCGAGACUUCGGCCCGGAAUGGACAAUGUUUGGGUUUGGAUCCGUCCGGUAGGAGGUCGCUCGGGGUUGGUGGCCCGCCUUGUUCUUGCUGGCGCCUCCCUUACCCCAGGGACGGUGUCCGCCCGUUUAUAUGCACCCCCUGAACGCGAGGGUCGGAGAUUCGCCCACGCCCCGUGUCGGCCACGCAUUCCCGUGGGGCGGCCGCGGGGUCGGCCCAAGCUGAGAGUCAUGGCCGCUGUCCCCGAGGCGUUUAAGCGCUCUCUACAAAGUCUGUAGGGGAAGCUGCUCCCGUCGGGGUGGCAGUCACAAUCUCAGCAGGCAACGUUGAGGCCCACGGAAGGAAGGGGCGAGGUGUCCAUGCUCCUGCCAGGGACUGGAGCACCGUGAGCAGCCUCCCGAGUCUCGCACUCUCACUUGCAAAACCCUGCACUGACUGCUUGGUUCUUGGGGGAGCCGGUAAUCGCGGGGCGACUUCCCAAAAUUCUUUAAGGGGUGUGCUUAGUUACCAUGUGUAAUGAGAGAGCAAGGUUCAGCCUCAGAGAGCUCCAGGGAGAGCUAAUCUUUUUCAUUCGUUUGUGGUAUAUGGAACUGGGGAGAGGCUGGAACAGCAAUUAGAAACCAGUCGUACAGCUGUCGAAGCCAAUGAACGAGCACUUCUUUUAGCAGCUGUACCUUUGUCCAGUGUCAAUGCCUUUUCACACGUAAACAUUUCACUUGCUCGGCAUCUUACCCAGACCCCUAAUAAGUGCUUUUUAAUGAACGAUUGGUUUUAAUAAACCGUGGUGAGCCAGACAUAUAAUGUUGAACAGAAGUCCUCUCACACCCAUAACCACUAGAGGGCAGGGCUUCACCUACUGAGUUGGUGAUCAUCCUACAGAGAACUCAAAAGAAAAUUUCCGUAUAUGCUAGAUGUGUUUUUCUCCAUCAACACUUAGACACUUUACAAAUUUGCUUUUUAUCUCAGGUCCUGUAACAUAUCGCAGUGUGCUCUCUAACCACACGUUCAACAUCAGAAUUAACGGACGGGGUUGCCUGUGUUUCUAUAUUUGUUCCCAAAACCUUCAGAGAUGCCUCUUUAUUGUGGGCAGAAGCCAGCAGCCUGCUAAACACCCACAGCAUGACUGGUGAUCCAAUCUUUUCCCAACAGACGAACACAAAGCAGACUUCAUUUCCACAGUUGUUUCAGGAUCACUUUUUCUGGGGCUGAGGAUGCAAGGAUAGCAGAGCUCACGUGGACAUCUCACAGGACUGCAAGUGCACUGGUGGAGUAAGCAGCCCAGGAGAGGGAGGAAAUGAACAGAGA
This is a long non-coding RNA of Homo sapiens (human), 1313 nucleotides long. RefSeq lists it as uncharacterized. NCBI's taxonomy places the organism in Eukaryota, Metazoa, Chordata, Mammalia, Primates, Hominidae. The transcript is spliced from 3 exons. The record is from RefSeq and is a predicted model, not a curated record.